UACGAGGGGGGCGAGCGUUGUUCGGAAUUAUUGGGCGUAAAGGGUGCGUAGGCGGCCUGACAAGUCUGAUGUGAAAUCCCUGGGCUCAACCCAGGGCCUGCAUCGGAAACUGUCGGGCUUGAGUAUGGGAGAGGUGAGUGGAAUUUCCGGUGUAGCGGUGAAAUGCGUAGAUAUUCGGAAGAACACCAGUGGCGAAGGCGGCUCACUGGACCGGCAUUGACGCUGAGGUGCGAAAGCGUGGGGAGCAAACAGG
This 253-nucleotide ribosomal RNA is filed under the name uncultured bacterium. Its description in RNAcentral is "partial 16S ribosomal RNA". It matches the Rfam family "Bacterial small subunit ribosomal RNA", at positions 524 to 776 of the family's 1533-position model. The record is from RNAcentral.